RNAcentral lists this long non-coding RNA (5374 nucleotides) under Lathyrus oleraceus (garden pea). RNAcentral's name for it is "Pisum sativum (pea) long non-coding RNA (PSAT_LNC040545)". The record is from RNAcentral. Lineage: Eukaryota; Viridiplantae; Streptophyta; Magnoliopsida; Fabales; Fabaceae.
UCAUCAUUCACACAAUUCAAUCAAAUUUCAUUGGUUUAACAACAACAUUUUCAUCAUUCCCACAAUUCAAUCAAACUCCACGGGUUUAAUAGCAGCGUUUUCAUCAUUCACUCAAUUCAAUAAAAUUUUAAUGGUUUUAAGAUCAACAAUUUAUCAUUCCCACAAUUCAAUCAAUUUUCACGGGUUUAACAGUAAGAUUUUCAUCAUUCACAAAUUUCAAUCAAGUUUCAUGGGUUUAACAACAACAUUUUCAUAAUUCACACAAUUCAUUCAAAUUACAUGGAUUGAAUAGCAACAUUUUCGUCAUUCCCACAAUUCAAUCAAAUAUCAUGGGUUUAACAGUAACAUUUUCAUCAUUCCUACAAUUCAAUCGAAUUUCAUGGGUUAUCAAUAAUAUUUUCAUCAUUCACAAAAUUCUAUCAAAUUUCAUGGGUUUAAAAAUUAAAUCUUCAUCAUUCACACAAUUCAAUUCAAUUUCAAUGGUUUAAUAACAACAUUUUCAUCAUUCCCAUAAUUCAAUCGAACUCAAUGGGUUUAAUAGCAGCGUUUUCGUCAUUCACUCAAUUCAAUCAAAUUUUAAUGGUUUUAAGAGCAACAAUUUCAUCAUUCCCACAAUUCAAUCAAAUUUUAUGGGUUUAACAAUAACAUUUUCUUUAUUCACACAAUUCAAUCAAAUUUCAUGGGUUUAACAUCAACAUUUUCAUCAUUCACACAAUUCAAUCAAAUUUCAUGGGUUUAACAACAACAUUUUCAUCAUUCACACAAUUCAAUCAAAUUUCAUGGGUUUAACAACAACAUUUUCAUCAUUCACACAAUUCAAUCAAAUUUCAUGGGUUUAACAACAACAUUUUCAUCAUUCACACAAUUCAAUCAAAUUUCAUGGGUUUAACAACAACAUUUUCAUCAUUCACACAAUUCAAUCAAAUUUCAUGGGUUUAACAACAACAUUUUCAUCAUUCACACAAUUCAAUCAAAUUUCAUGGGUUUAACAACAACAUUUUCAUCAUUCACACAAUUCAAUCAAAUUUCAUGGGUUUAACAACAACAUUUUCAUCAUUCACACAAUUCAAUCAAAUUUCAUGGGUUUAACAACAACAUUUUCAUCAUUCACACAAUUCAAUCAAAUUUCAUGGGUUUAACAACAACAUUUUCAUCAUUCACACAAUUCAAUCAAAUUUCAUGGGUUUAACAACAACAUUUUCAUCAUUCACACAAUUCAAUCAAAUUUCAUGGGUUUAACAACAACAUUUUCAUCAUUCACACAAUUCAAUCAAAUUUCAUGGGUUUAACAACAACAUUUUCAUCAUUCACACAAUUCAAUCAAAUUUCAUGGGUUUAACAACAACAUUUUCAUCAUUCACACAAUUCAAUCAAAUUCCAUGGGUUUAACAACAACAUUUUCAUCAUUCACACAAUUCAAUCAAAUUUCAUGAAUUUAACAACAACAACAUUUUCAUCAUUCACACAAUUCAAUCAAAUUUCAUGGGUUUAACAACAACAUUUUCAUCAUUCACACAAUUCAAUCAAAUUUCAUGGGUUUAACAACAACAUUUUCAUCAUUCACACAAUUCAAUCAAAUUUCAUGGGUUUAACAACAACAUUUUCAUCAUUCACACAAUUCAAUCAAAUUUCAUGGGUUUAACAACAACAUUUUCAUCAUUCACACAAUUCAAUCAAAUUUCAUGGGUUUAACAACAACAUUUUCAUCAUUCACACAAUUCAAUCAAAUUUCAUGGGUUUAACAACAACAUUUUCAUCAUUCACACAAUUCAAUCAAAUUUCAUGGGUUUAACAACAACAUUUUCAUCAUUCACACAAUUCAAUCAAAUUUCAUGGGUUUAACAACAACAUUUUCAUCAUUCACACAAUUCAAUCAAAUUUCAUGGGUUUAACAACAACAUUUUCAUCAUUCACACAAUUCAAUCAAAUUUCAUGGGUUUAACAACAACAUUUUCAUCAUUCACACAAUUCAAUCAAAUUUCAUGGGUUUAACAACAACAUUUUCAUCAUUCACACAAUUCAAUCAAAUUUCAUGGGUUUAACAACAACAUUUUCAUCAUUCACACAAUUCAAUCAAAUUUCAUGGGUUUAACAACAACAUUUUCAUCAUUCACACAAUUCAAUCAAAUUUCAUGGGUUUAACAACAACAUUUUCAUCAUUCACACAAUUCAAUCAAAUUUCAUGGGUUUAACAACAACAUUUUCAUCAUUCACACAAUUCAAUCAAAUUUCAUGGGUUUAACAACAACAUUUUCAUCAUUCACACAAUUCAAUCAAAUUUCAUGGGUUUAACAACAACAUUUUCAUCAUUCACACAAUUCAAUCAAAUUUCAUGGGUUUAACAACAACAUUUUCAUCAUUCACACAAUUCAAUCAAAUUUCAUGGGUUUAACAACAACAUUUUCAUCAUUCACACAAUUCAAUCAAAUUUCAUGGGUUUAACAACAACAUUUUCAUCAUUCACACAAUUCAAUCAAAUUUCAUGGGUUUAACAACAACAUUUUCAUCAUUCACACAAUUCAAUCAAAUUUCAUGGGUUUAACAACAACAUUUUCAUCAUUCACACAAUUCAAUCAAAUUUCAUGGGUUUAACAACAACAUUUUCAUCAUUCACACAAUUCAAUCAAAUUUCAUGGGUUUAACAACAACAUUUUCAUCAUUCACACAAUUCAAUCAAAUUUCAUGGGUUUAACAACAACAUUUUCAUCAUUCACACAAUUCAAUCAAAUUUCAUGGGUUUAACAACAACAUUUUCAUCAUUCACACAAUUCAAUCAAAUUUCAUGGGUUUAACAACAACAUUUUCAUCAUUCACACAAUUCAAUCAAAUUUCAUGGGUUUAACAACAACAUUUUCAUCAUUCACACAAUUCAAUCAAAUUUCAUGGGUUUAACAACAACAUUUUCAUCAUUCACACAAUUCAAUCAAAUUUCAUGGGUUUAACAACAACAUUUUCAUCAUUCACACAAUUCAAUCAAAUUUCAUGGGUUUAACAACAACAUUUUCAUCAUUCACACAAUUCAAUCAAAUUUCAUGGGUUUAACAACAACAUUUUCAUCAUUCACACAAUUCAAUCAAAUUUCAUGGGUUUAACAACAACAUUUUCAUCAUUCACACAAUUCAAUCAAAUUUCAUGGGUUUAACAACAACAUUUUCAUCAUUCACACAAUUCAAUCAAAUUUCAUGGGUUUAACAACAACAUUUUCAUCAUUCACACAAUUCAAUCAAAUUUCAUGGGUUUAACAACAACAUUUUCAUCAUUCACACAAUUCAAUCAAAUUUCAUGGGUUUAACAACAACAUUUUCAUCAUUCACACAAUUCAAUCAAAUUUCAUGGGUUUAACAACAACAUUUUCAUCAUUCACACAAUUCAAUCAAAUUUCAUGGGUUUAACAACAACAUUUUCAUCAUUCACACAAUUCAAUCAAAUUUCAUGGGUUUAACAACAACAUUUUCAUCAUUCACACAAUUCAAUCAAAUUUCAUGGGUUUAACAACAACAUUUUCAUCAUUCACACAAUUCAAUCAAAUUUCAUGGGUUUAACAACAACAUUUUCAUCAUUCACACAAUUCAAUCAAAUUUCAUGGGUUUAACAACAACAUUUUCAUCAUUCACACAAUUCAAUCAAAUUUCAUGGGUUUAACAACAACAUUUUCAUCAUUCACACAAUUCAAUCAAAUUUCAUGGGUUUAACAACAACAUUUUCAUCAUUCACACAAUUCAAUCAAAUUUCAUGGGUUUAACAACAACAUUUUCAUCAUUCACACAAUUCAAUCAAAUUUCAUGGGUUUAACAACAACAUUUUCAUCAUUCACACAAUUCAAUCAAAUUUCAUGGGUUUAACAACAACAUUUUCAUCAUUCACACAAUUCAAUCAAAUUUCAUGGGUUUAACAACAACAUUUUCAUCAUUCACACAAUUCAAUCAAAUUUCAUGGGUUUAACAACAACAUUUUCAUCAUUCACACAAUUCAAUCAAAUUUCAUGGGUUUAACAACAACAUUUUCAUCAUUCACACAAUUCAAUCAAAUUUCAUGGGUUUAACAACAACAUUUUCAUCAUUCACACAAUUCAAUCAAAUUUCAUGGGUUUAACAACAACAUUUUCAUCAUUCACACAAUUCAAUCAAAUUUCAUGGGUUUAACAACAACAUUUUCAUCAUUCACACAAUUCAAUCAAAUUUCAUGGGUUUAACAACAACAUUUUCAUCAUUCACACAAUUCAAUCAAAUUUCAUGGGUUUAACAACAACAUUUUCAUCAUUCACACAAUUCAAUCAAAUUUCAUGGGUUUAACAACAACAUUUUCAUCAUUCACACAAUUCAAUCAAAUUUCAUGGGUUUAACAACAACAUUUUCAUCAUUCACACAAUUCAAUCAAAUUUCAUGGGUUUAACAACAACAUUUUCAUCAUUCACACAAUUCAAUCAAAUUUCAUGGGUUUAACAACAACAUUUUCAUCAUUCACACAAUUCAAUCAAAUUCCAUGGGUUUAACAACAACAUUUUCAUCAUUCACACAAUUCAAUCAAAUUUCAUGGGUUUAACAACAAAAUCUUCAUCAUUCACACAAUUCAAUCAAAUUUCAUGGGUUUAACAACAACAUUUUCAUAAUUCACAAAAUUCAUUCAAAUUUCAUGGAUUUAAUAGCAACAUUUUCAUCAUUCCCACAAUUCAAUCAAAUAUCAUGGGUUUAACAGUAACAUUUUCAUCAUUCCCACAAUUCAAUCAAAUUUCAUGGGUUUAACAAUAACAUUUUCAUCAUUCACAAAAUUCUAUCAAAUUUCAUGGGUUUAACAACAAAAUCUUCAUCAUUCACACAAUUCAAUCAAAUUUCAUGGGUUUAACAACAACAUUUUCAUAAUUCACACAAUUCACUCAAAUUUCAUGGAUUUAAUAGCAACAUUUUCAUAAUUCACACAAUUCAAUCAAAUUUCAUGGGUUUAACAACAAAAUCAUCAUCAUUCACACAAUUCAAUCAAAUUUCAUGGGUUUAACAACAACAUUUUCAUAAUUCACACAAUUCACUCAAAUUUCAUGGAUUUAAUAGCAACAUUUUCAUCAUUCACACAAUUCAAUCAAAUUUCAUGGGUUUAACAACAAAAUCAUCAUCAUUCACACAAUUCAAUCAAAUUUCAUGGGUUUAACAACAACAUUUUCAUAAUUCACAAAAUUCAUUCAAAUUUCAUGGAUUUAAUAGCAACAUUUUCAUCAUUCCCACAAUUCAAUCAAAUAUCAUGGGUUUAACAGUAACAUUUUCAUCAUUCCCACAAUUCAAUCAAAUUUCAUGGGUUUAACAAUAACAUUUUCAUCAUUCACAAAAUUCUAUCAAAUUUCAUGGGUUUAAAAAUAAAAUCUUCAUCAUUCACACAAUUAAAU